CCAAUAGCGUAUAUUAAAGUUGUUGCAGUUAAAAAGCUCGUAGUUGAAUUUCGGGAUCAAUAUAUCGGUCGUGCCUUGGUACGUACUGGUAUCAUUGGUUUCUCCUUUCUGACGAACCAUGAUGUCAUUAAUUUGGUGUUAUGGGAAGUUAGGACUGUUACUUUGAAAAAAUUAGAGUGUUUAAAGCAGGCUUUAGCUUGAAUACAUUAGCAUGGAAUAAUGAAAUAGGACGUUCGAACCUAUUUUGUUGGUUUCUAGGAUCAACGUAAUGAUUAAUAGGGAUAGUUGGGGGCAUUAGUAUUCAAUUGUCAGAGGUGAAAUUCUUGGAUUUAUUGAAGACUAACUACCGCGAAAGCAUUUGCCAAGGAUGUUUUCAUUAAUCAAGAACGAAAGUUAGGGGAUCGAAGACGAUCAGAUACCGUCGUAGUCUUAACCAUAAACUAUGCCGACUAGGGAUCGGAUGAUGUUAAUUUUUUAAUGACUCAUUCGGCGCCUUACG
Molecule: ribosomal RNA, 499 nt
Filed under: uncultured Glomeromycotina
Lineage: Eukaryota; Fungi; Glomeromycota
Description: partial small subunit ribosomal RNA
Rfam family: Eukaryotic small subunit ribosomal RNA
Source: RNAcentral